GCCCAGAGAAUUGCUGUCAUCUUCCACCUCACUGGUCCCCACUAAUGCAAAAAGGUCUGUCUGUCGAUGUGUUUUCUAGUCCUUGCCGUGGGUGAUGUCCAUCUGCAGUCCACCCUCGAUAUGUAUUAACACUGAGCAAUGAAGUUUUCACACUUCUGUGCUGUUAACACUUCAACACUUAUCAGGGGUAGCAUACACAAUUUGUAACACUUAUAUGAAUAACACUUGUGUAAAUAAAGGAUGAAAAUACAUAAGAUAUGAAUGUCAUCAUGUUUCUGAGCAUAAUGGGAGAACAAAUCUAAAAUAGUUCAAUGAAAUUCUUGUGCAUGAUGCUAAGAUCAUAUUUCCUUUUGAAGUGUUUGAAUGUUUUUGAUGCAAGGUGUAUUGUUAGUAGGCCUUGGUUUCAAC
RNAcentral lists this long non-coding RNA (408 nucleotides) under Physcomitrium patens. RNAcentral's name for it is "long non-coding RNA (PPAT_LNC001741)". Lineage: Eukaryota; Viridiplantae; Streptophyta; Bryopsida; Funariales; Funariaceae. The record is from RNAcentral.